GACGAACGCUGGCGGCGUGCUUAACACAUGUAAGUCGAACGGAAAGGCCCUGCUUUUGUGGGGUGCUCGAGUGGCGAACGGGUGAGUAACACGUGAGUAACCUGCCCUUGACUUUGGGAUAACUUCAGGAAACUGGGGCUAAUACCGGAUAGGAGCUCCCGCUGCAUGGUGGGGGUUGGAAAGUUUCGGCGGUUGGGGAUGGACUCGCGGCUUAUCAGCUUGUUGGUGGGGUAGUGGCUUACCAAGGCUUUGACGGGUAGCCGGCCUGAGAGGGUGACCGGCCACAUUGGGACUGAGAUACGGCCCAGACUCCUACGGGAGGCAGCAGUGGGGAAUAUUGCACAAUGGGCGGAAGCCUGAUGCAGCAACGCCGCGUGCGGGAUGACGGCCUUCGGGUUGUAAACCGCUUUCGCCUGUGACGAAGCGUGAGUGACGGUAAUGGGUAAAGAAGCACCGGCUAACUACGUG
RNAcentral lists this ribosomal RNA (468 nucleotides) under uncultured bacterium. RNAcentral's name for it is "partial 16S ribosomal RNA". It matches the Rfam family "Bacterial small subunit ribosomal RNA", at positions 28 to 507 of the family's 1533-position model. The record is from RNAcentral.